UCCACCAUGGAGGGGGCUCUGACCUGGGUUUUCCUUGUGGCCAUUUUACAAGGUGUGCAGUGUGAGGUGCAGCUGGUGGAGUCUGGGGGAGGCUUGGUGCAGCCUGGGGGGUCUCUGAGACUCUCCUGUGCAGCCUCCGGAUUCGACUUCAGUAGUUACUACAUGAGCUGGCUCCGCCAGGCUCCAGGGCAGACGCCUGAGUGGCUCUCAUACAUCAGUAGUGAUAGUAGUUACAUAAGGUAUGCAGAAUCCGUGAAGGGCCACUUCACCACCUCCAGAGACAACACUUCCAAGGACCUGCAGAUACAGUGUGAACUACAGCACGUAGUCAGUGCGUCAUGGUGUGCAGUGGAGGUGCAGCUGGUAGAGUCUGGGGGAGGCUUGGUGCAGCCUGGGGGGUCCCUGAGACUCUCCUCUGCAGUCUCUGGAUUCACCUUCAGUAAUUCCUGGAUGAGCUGGAGCCGCCAGGCUCCUGGGAAG
Non-coding RNA from Dipodomys ordii (Ord's kangaroo rat), 480 nucleotides. The record is from the annotation of a RefSeq genome assembly. Lineage: Eukaryota; Metazoa; Chordata; Mammalia; Rodentia; Heteromyidae.